RNAcentral lists this ribosomal RNA (465 nucleotides) under Vreelandella stevensii. RNAcentral's name for it is "partial 16S ribosomal RNA". It matches the Rfam family "Bacterial small subunit ribosomal RNA", at positions 338 to 795 of the family's 1533-position model. The record is from RNAcentral. Lineage: Bacteria; Pseudomonadati; Pseudomonadota; Gammaproteobacteria; Oceanospirillales; Halomonadaceae.
CCUACGGGGGGCAGCAGUGGGGAAUAUUGGACAAUGGGGGGAACCCUGAUCCAGCCAUGCCGCGUGUGUGAAGAAGGCCCUCGGGUUGUAAAGCACUUUCAGUGAGGAAGAACGCCUGGUGGUUAAUACCCAUCAGGAAAGACAUCACUCACAGAAGAAGCACCGGCUAACUCCGAGCCAGCAGCCGCGGUAAUACGGAGGGUGCGAGCGUUAAUCGGAAUUACUGGGCGUAAAGCGCGCGUAGGUGGCUUGAUAAGCCGGUUGUGAAAGCCCCGGGCUCAACCUGGGAACGGCAUCCGGAACUGUCAAGCUAGAGUGCAGGAGAGGAAGGUAGAAUUCCCGGUGUAGCGGUGAAAUGCGUAGAGAUCGGGAGGAAUACCAGUGGCGAAGGCGGCCUUCUGGACUGACACUGACACUGAGGUGCGAAAGCGUGGGUAGCAAACAGGAUUAGAUACCCCAGUAGUC